This 262-nucleotide ribosomal RNA is filed under the name uncultured bacterium. RNAcentral describes it as "partial 16S ribosomal RNA". It matches the Rfam family "Bacterial small subunit ribosomal RNA", at positions 793 to 1055 of the family's 1533-position model. The record is from RNAcentral.
GUCCAUGCCGUAAACGAUGUCUACUAGCCGUUGGGGCCUUUGAGGCUUUAGUGGCGCAGCUAACGCGAUAAGUAGACCGCCUGGGGAGUACGGUCGCAAGACUAAAACUCAAAUGAAUUGACGGGGGCCCGCACAAGCGGUGGAGCAUGUGGUUUAAUUCGACGCAACGCGAAGAACCUUACCAGGGCUUGACAUAUACAGGAAUAUGCUAGAGAUAGUAUAGCUCUUCGGAGUCUGUAUACAGGUGGUGCAUGGUUGUCGU